This 421-nucleotide ribosomal RNA is filed under the name Leptodactylus pentadactylus group sp. ABGD cluster 67. Its description in RNAcentral is "partial large subunit ribosomal RNA". It matches the Rfam family "Bacterial large subunit ribosomal RNA", at positions 1841 to 2457 of the family's 2925-position model. Lineage: Eukaryota; Metazoa; Chordata; Amphibia; Anura; Leptodactylidae. The record is from RNAcentral.
ACCUAUAAGAGGUCCAGCCUGCCCAGUGACUCUGUUCAACGGCCGCGGUAUCCUAACCGUGCGAAGGUAGCGUAAUCACUUGUUCUUUAAAUGAGGACUAGUAUGAAUGGCACCACGAAGGUUAUACUGUCUCCUCUAUCUAAUCAGUGAAACUAAUCUCCCCGUGAAGAAGCGGGGAUAAUUAUAUAAGACGAGAAGACCCUACGGAGCUUUAAACUAAGAAUCAUCUGCUUUACCCCCCCCCUUCAAAUUUCAGAAGACUAACUUUUACCAAAGCACUUUGAUCUCUAGUCUUAGGUUGGGGUGACCACGGAGUAAAAACCAACCUCCGCAAUGAACCGGAAUCUUUCCUUAACCAAGGGCCACGGCCCUAAGAAUCAACACAUUGACAUCAAUUGACCCAAAAAUUUGAUCAAUGAAC